RNAcentral lists this unclassified non-coding RNA (213 nucleotides) under soil metagenome. Its description in RNAcentral is "partial contains 5.8S ribosomal RNA, internal transcribed spacer 2, and large subunit ribosomal RNA". The record is from RNAcentral.
AACAUCGCGCACCUGCGGGAACCUGCGGAAGGAUCAUUACAAGUGACCCCGGUUUACCACCGGGAUGUUCAUAACCCUUUGUUGUCCGACUCUGUUGCCUCCGGGGCGACCCUGCCUUCGGGCGGGGGCUCCGGGUGGACACUUCAAACUCUUGCGUAACUUUGCAGUCUGAGUAAACUUAAUUAAUAAAUUAAAACUUUCAACAAUGGAUCU